This is a long non-coding RNA of Xenopus laevis (African clawed frog), 947 nucleotides long. RefSeq lists it as uncharacterized. The transcript has 2 exons. NCBI's taxonomy places the organism in Eukaryota, Metazoa, Chordata, Amphibia, Anura, Pipidae. The record is from RefSeq and is a predicted model, not a curated record.
UUGUUCUUAUAAGUUUUUAUUAUUAAGGUUAUAUUCCUGUUCACUUUGUUAUAACCUGAGUAGAUCUCCGCCUAUUGGGGGUAUAGCCAGUGGAGGAGGAACCAGUUUUUACUAGUUGUGUCCAUGGGCGUCCACAGAGGGGGGCAAGAGGGGGCAGUGCCCCCCCCUGGGACUGUGCUACGGCCCGCGGGCCAAAUGCGGGCCGAUAUCCAUUAAUUUGCCCGCAGCGUGCAAAAAUCCCUCCCCCCUCUCAGCAUCCAGAGUUUCCUACCAAGGCGUCAUGAUUGGGGGGCGGCACCUACAGUGCUUCACUGUAGACUCUGUGAAGCCGUUUCUAAACUCCGCCCUCCCCUCCCCGUGACUGGAGUUUAGUGUAGUGCGGGGAGGGAGAGGGAGCCGGUAAACAAACUGAAAGCAUGGCUCCAGGCAUUCCCCUUCAACACUGCUGCCUAACCUGGUCUGGAUUUCCUGCAUGAUGUCAUGAACUAGCGACACAUGCAGCAGAUGAGCAGGCUGCUCCAGGCCUCCAUGUUUGUGGACUUUAUGUGGCAGCACAUGCAACUAACUGAUUUGCCAGCAGAAGACAAGGCACUCGGAUUUAUUGCUACAAAGUCUGCUCCUGCUCCGGUGAAGCACAAAUUCCCCUAAGUGCAGGGCUGAGCUCCCUUGGAACCCCCAACACACUGUACAAAGUAUAUCUGUGGCCUCCGCGUUACUAACCUCAAAAGGUCACAUGACCAGAGCACUAGGAUCCUGGGAAGUCUGUUGCAGACAAUCUGAUUGUGUUUGGUUCCAGUAUGUACAGCCUGUAGCUAACCUGUUGGUGAUCAUAGUAUGAGGACUGUGUCUGCCUUUUUCCAGACUAUACCACCCUGCUGUGCCUAUAACUCGUGCAAUAUGAGUGGUACAUUUAUUUUAAGGAUUUAAUAAAAUGUUCCCUAAUUUCA